GAUGAACGCUGGCGGCGUGCUUAACACAUGCAAGUCGAACGAGGCACCUUGAUUUGAUUCUUCGGAUGAAGAUCCUGGUGACUGAGUGGCGGACGGUGAGUAACGCGUGGGUAACCUGCCUCAUACAGGGGGAUAACAGUUAGAAAUGACUGCUAAUACCGCAUAAGACCACAGCACCGCAUGGUGCAGGGGUAAAAACUCCGGUGGUAUGAGAUGGACCCGCGUCUGAUUAGGUAGUUGGUGGGGUAACGGCCUACCAAGCCGACGAUCAGUAGCCGACCUGAGAGGGUGACCGGCCACAUUGGGACCGAGACACGGCCCAAACUCCUACGGGAGGCAGCAGUGGGGAAUAUUGCACAAUGGGGGAAACCCUGAUGCAGCGACGCCGCGUGAGCGAUGAAGUAUUUCGGUAUGUAAAGCUCUAUCAGCAGGGAAGAAAAUGACGGUACCUGACUAAGAAGCACCGGCUAAAUACGUGCCAGCCGCCGCUGUAA
Molecule: ribosomal RNA, 494 nt
Filed under: uncultured bacterium
Lineage: Bacteria
Description: partial 16S ribosomal RNA
Rfam family: Bacterial small subunit ribosomal RNA
Source: RNAcentral